Molecule: ribosomal RNA, 400 nt
Filed under: Austrochloritis sp. WT8
Lineage: Eukaryota; Metazoa; Mollusca; Gastropoda; Stylommatophora; Camaenidae
Description: partial 16S ribosomal RNA
Rfam family: Archaeal large subunit ribosomal RNA
Source: RNAcentral
CAAAAACAUAGCUAUAUGAAGUAGAUAUAGUUUUUUCUGCUCAAUGAGACAUUUAAUAGCCGCAGUACCCUGACUGUGCUAAGGUAGCAAAAUCAAUUGUCUUCUAAUUAAAGUCGUGUAUGAACGAAUAUAUGGGGGCUAGCUUUACCAAGUAUAAUAUACAAACUUACUAAUUGAGUGUAAAUUCUCAAAUAAUUAAAAUAGACGAGAAGACCCUAGAAAUUUUUUAAAAUUUUUUUGUUGGGGCAACAUAGUAGCAAUUAACCUACUUUAAAUAUAUGAAAUUCUUUUGACAAGUUAAAUUACUCUAGGGAUAACAGCAUCAUAUUUAAAAUGUUUGUGACCUCGAUGUUGGAUUAGGAAGUUGUGGUUUAGACGAUUAACAAUUAUGCUCUGUUCG